UGGGGAAUUUUGGACAAUGGGCGAAAGCCUGAUCCAGCAAUGCCGCGUGUGUGAAGAAGGCCUUCGGGUUGUAAAGCACUUUUGUCCGGAAAGAAAUCCUUGGCUCUAAUACAGUCGGGGGAUGACGGUACCGGAAGAAUAAGCACCGGCUAACUACGUGCCAGCAGCCGCGGUAAUACGUAGGGUGCAAGCGUUAAUCGGAAUUACUGGGCGUAAAGCGUGCGCAGGCGGUUUGCUAAGACCGAUGUGAAAUCCCCGGGCUCAACCUGGGAACUGCAUUGGUGACUGGCAGGCUAGAGUAUGGCAGAGGGGGGUAGAAUUCCACGUGUAGCAGUGAAAUGCGUAGAGAUGUGGAGGAAUACCGAUGGCGAAGGCAGCCCCCUGGGCCAAUACUGACGCUCAUGCACGAAAGCGUGGGGAGCAAACAGGAUUAGAUACCCUGGUAGUCCACGCCCUAAACGAUGUCAACUAGUUGUUGGGGAUUCAUUUCCUUAGUAACGUAGCUAACGCGUGAAGUUGACCGCCUGGGGAGUACGGUCGCAAGAUUAAAACUCAAAUGAAUUGACGGGGUCUAGCUGUUUCCU
This 584-nucleotide ribosomal RNA is filed under the name uncultured bacterium. Its description in RNAcentral is "partial 16S ribosomal RNA". It matches the Rfam family "Bacterial small subunit ribosomal RNA", at positions 355 to 932 of the family's 1533-position model. The record is from RNAcentral.